CUAGCUUGAUUGGAGAAAAAUUGGUGACGUGCAAGCCAAUAAACUUGUGGGUACAUGAUGGACUCAAAGUGAAAAAGGAAAGCGGAAAUGAAAAAGUAAAGAUAAUAGACUGUGGUGGUGUGCCGGAGGAAAUAACGAGCAACUAGCAAGUAGAAAUAGCUAGAUACGCCUCCGAACUAAUAGAGAUGUAAUAUCCCGCUAUCGUAAGAUUCGAAAGUAGUUGGGACCUAGAUUGAAUUGUCCAUUUGUAUUUGCGAUUUGGUAAGUACCAUGGUAUCCUGCAACUUCACCCAUGCCCAGAGUCACUCUGCUGAUAGUCAAGGUCUCUUGUCAGUGUAUAUAUAUUUACUGAAAUAUAAAUUAUGAGAUUGUUAUGCACUCUGUAUAUUGAUUGAUUACCCUUAUCGAUUAGGGUUGAAGAAUGAUAACAGUAU
Theobroma cacao (cacao) is the source of this 434-nucleotide non-coding RNA. NCBI's taxonomy places the organism in Eukaryota, Viridiplantae, Streptophyta, Magnoliopsida, Malvales, Malvaceae. The record is from RefSeq and is a predicted model, not a curated record.